This 339-nucleotide long non-coding RNA is filed under the name Salvia miltiorrhiza (redroot sage). Its description in RNAcentral is "long non-coding RNA (SMIL_LNC004276)". The record is from RNAcentral. Lineage: Eukaryota; Viridiplantae; Streptophyta; Magnoliopsida; Lamiales; Lamiaceae.
GGAAGGUGGAUGAAUGAAAGCCAAAUCUCACCUUGGAGUUUCUGGCAGCAGCUUAGACUAUUUACUUCCCUUGGUUUGCUGGUGAUUAAGGGAGUGUUUUGGCUGAACUUGUAGGCUAGGAAGGCAAAGGGGCGAUGGAGUGCACUUGAGUGAUGAGUGGUAGGAAAAAUGAUGAGUGAUGGGGGAAAGUGAUUGGGAAAGAGUGAAUGGUUGGGGUGAAAAAUGAGUGGUCAAAGAUUGAUGGAAAUAAAAAGAAAAAAAUAAUAGAGAAGAAUUAAUGAUGUAUUUUCUAUGUCUCGGUGAUUCCGUAACUGAAAUAAAAUACUGGCUUCGAUUCUG